Molecule: long non-coding RNA, 1154 nt
Organism: Leopardus geoffroyi (Geoffroy's cat)
Lineage: Eukaryota; Metazoa; Chordata; Mammalia; Carnivora; Felidae
Exons: 2
Source: RefSeq, a predicted model, not a curated record
AUGUUGGAAUCUUUAGGGAGGUGUGUUUAUGUGUGUGUGUGUGUGUGUGUGUGUGUGUGUGUGUGUCACAAAAGUAGAAUCGAAAAACAGAAGAUCUACCUUUUUUUUUUUUUUUUAAUCUGGAUAGUUUUGGGCAAGCUACAACUUCUGUGAGCCUCAGUUGUCUCAUUUUUCAAAUUGUAAUGCUAGAACCUUUCCAAAGCACAAGCUUGUUGUAAGGAGCCAAUAACAUAAAAUCAGUGACAAGACUUUUUAAACUAUAAAACGUACACAUGUUAAUAGUUACUAUUCAAAGUGCUCCAACAGGCAAAGGCAAUUCUUGAUUCCAGAAGUUAUGGUCUGAUUUACUUUCAGAACAAAUGGAAGUUGGGUAUGGAAGGAAACCUUCCUGUAAGAAAUACAGAAUAUAGCUUUGCCUGGACUUUCUCAUCUUCCUUAGCAAAAUGUGCAAAUUUUCCUAACUGACCACAUGUUUAGAGAUUAGGACAAGAGAGAAUAUAGUUCUUUUUGUACUGUUUUAAUAUUGAAUAAGCCGUAUUUAUGGUACCUAGCUUUAGGGAAAAGAAGAAAAAGAGCAAGAGAGAAAUGGUAUAUCUGCCCACCACCACCUGCUAUUUUUAGGUUGGCUAGGAAGCCCUGUUUGGCUGCCUUUGCCCAUCUCAUUUGGCAACUCUUGAGACUGCAUCAUUCAGAGAGAUAUAAGAAGCUUAAAAGGUAGAAAACUGAAUUUCUUUGAUUUUCCAGACGUCAUUGCUGAAAAAACAUUAUCACCACAAAGCAGUUUGAAGGACAUUAGCUACACCCAUACCUGCUUCAUAACUGCAUCUGGCUGUAAACCUGAACACUGAUGCUUGACCUAUUGUAAGUCAAAAAGUUAUAUGUGGAUAAAAGCAGCUUUGCAUUUUAACCUCUUUCCUAUCUUUACUUAAAAAAAAAAAAGAAAAGAAAUUUAACUCAUAAAUGGGUAGAGGCAGAAAAGCCUUUUUGUGUCUGUACGCAAAUGUCUGACCUUGUUCUGAAUUGAUAAACUACAUAGGCCUAGCUUUACUACUUCAAACUCCCAGAAUUCCUGUAGUGGUGCUGGUGGAUAGUCAAUAAAUCAUUGCUAUUGUUGUUGAUGAUGAAUAUAGGUAAUAAAAGAGUGUGGAGAUGCA